Molecule: long non-coding RNA, 4719 nt
Organism: Betta splendens (Siamese fighting fish)
Lineage: Eukaryota; Metazoa; Chordata; Actinopteri; Anabantiformes; Osphronemidae
Exons: 2
Source: RefSeq, a predicted model, not a curated record
AGACGCAGGAGCUGAUGCUGGCUGAGACGCAGGAGCUGAUGCUGGCUGAGACGCAGGAGCUGAUGCAAGCUGAGACGCAGGAACUGAUGCCCACUGAGACACAAGGACUGAUGCUGAUGGUCACAGAGUGUGUGCAGAUUGCGGCCUCCUGGUUUGGUUAAAAAAGAAAAAGGGGGGAGGAGUGAAUUGGGACUCCAAAUUGGACCCGGAGACGUUAGUUUUGUUCCUCUUCGCGUGUUCACUUCUCAUGUGUGUGCGUGUGAAUGUGUGUGUGAAUACUGCCCAGAGCAGGAAGUCAAAUAAGUCAACUAAGUAGGAUAAAACACCUAUAAUAAGUCCAUUAACAUUCAUUCCUGGUCGGUCCAUUUAAGUAUGUCAUAUACUCUUUUCUCAGGAGAUUCAGAAGUAUUCGAAGAAAUAGAAUAAGCGGACGCAUAAAGCUACGUCACCCUGGCCAACAGAGGGGACAUUUGAUCUGAGGCAGUGGGUUGAGAUCAAAUCUGUGAUGCAGUGUUGCAUUUUAUUAGCUGUGCAAAAAUGAUGGGCAAAAAGACAGCUCAAUGUUGUAAUAAUCAAUCUAAUCAGAUCACUAUAAUUAAGUCUCUUUCAGAUGCGUCCCAGAUGGAUGCAGAAGAAACAAAACCUGGAAGGAGAAAGAAGCCAGUUCACUCGGUAGCUGGUCUAGAAGGGACAGACAGGGCAGUGAAAAGGGAUGAGUUAUUAGAACUGCCCGACGUUUAUUUAAAAACUGAAAAUAACAAUUGGAAAUUCCUGCAGUGAAAGUGAUCUGCGUGACAGAGCAGGUAGAUCACUGUGGGCUGAGUCAGAUGAGGAAUCAAUGUGUGUUGGUGACGAACGGGUAAAUGAGGUUUCUGAUGGACUUCCUCUGCUGGUCAAAGGGGCAAAGUGUCAAAAUCUGCCCUGGCCUUCAAGACCAGAUCAGAAUGAUCUGAAUGACACUGUGGAACUGUGCAACAUGUCAGUAGAACAAAUAACUGACCAUGUGAUUCAUGCUGUUGAGCUGCGUCAAAAGCAGGCAAAGGAGGCAGUGAAAGAAGCAACACGCCAGCAGCAGCGAAAAGAGGGGGAGAAAAGAGAGACGAGGAUGGUGUCUGCUCAACCAACCAGCGUGCCUCAGACCCCACCUACACCACCAGGCAUGGCCACACCUCAGGUGAUGUACAUUCUACCAGGAGGGUGGACAAGACGACCUCCUAUGAGGAGAGGAGGGACUCCUCCAGGCCAAGGAGCAAGACGAGGAUGCUGUGGAAAAACUGUGAACUGCUUCCAGUGUGGGAGGUAUGGACAUGUGCAAAGCCAGUGAUGGAACAAGAGUGCACCUGGACGGCCAAGGAAGGCUGAGGCUGAAGCAGGGCCACUGAGACAGUGCAGGCUGUCAGAUAUGAACUGUGUCAAUGGACGUUAUCAAAAGCCAAAAAGCCAGAGGCCUCUGAAUCUGUGUUCUCACCUUGCUGCACACUUUAGUACUUUAAGACUAAGACAAAUAUCUAAAUUUUUAAAAACAAAAUAAAUAAGUCGAAUUGGUGAAAAUAACUCAGUCCUUAAAGCUGCCAAAAGCUUAAAAUAAAUAAAUGAAUAAAAUAAAAUAAAAUAAAAUAUUUCAAUUUUACAAGGAAAGGGAGAGGUACAGUAUGGAGAAUAUUUCAAAAUAAAGUUCAACUUUAUUUCAAAAUAAAGUUCCCAAUUCACUCACUCUGCUGUUGAAAUGCUUCACCUGAUGCUCAGUGGUUGACUGUGUUUUAUCCUCCAAGAGGUUUGGCUGUAUGUGGGUUUAUAUGAACUUUCUUUAGUAAGUUAAAAUAUUUUAGUUGUAGUUUUUAUCCACAGUUGUUACAGUAUGGUGUCAUUAGAGACUCAGAUAGUCACGGGGGAAAUUACAAUUAGAUGCAGUAGUGAUUGUGGGGUUGUUUGUGUUUCUAGGUUUAUUGCUUUGUGCAACAGGUUCAACAGGGUGUUAUGUCUAAUGUGUCAUCUCUGAUAGGUUGUGAGAAUGCAGCUUAUUUAGUCUGUAUGUUAAUUUCGUCAUAGAGUCACUUAGUGCAUGCAUUUACAGCACUUCCUGAAUUAAAUAAGUUUUAUCGCAGUGAUUCUGUGUUCUUCAUCAGGUUAGUCACUAAAGCUCAAUCCUUCUUGUUUAGCUGUCAGCUGACAUCGAGGGUGUAACCUUGAAGUUUAGAUGCUGUAUAAGUUUCUUAAUUUCACUUAGUUUAUUAAGUCCCAGUAAGGAUAGAUAAGUAAGGGUAAGAAAUGAUUUUUAGGGGUUGUACUAAUGUGCCCAUCUUAAGUUAGCGAUUCGAUUGUCCUCACUUUCUAAAUUAGUAAUUUGUAUAAUCACUUGGAUGCAGUAUGUGUGUAUGGGGAGUAUGAAAAUGAAUGACAGGAGACUUGUAUGUGUGGCGUCUGCUGUGGGACUAUUCUUCUAUUCUGUUUCUGUUGGGUCUCAUCCCAAGUUGGCGAACUUAUUCGAAGGAGGCCUGUUGGUUCAAAAGUUGGGGUUCAGUCGGUUCAAAUGUUAACUUGGAGUGUAAAUAGCUUGCGAAGAGGAUGAUCUCAGCAGGAUUCCUAGUGGAGUGAGAGAAAAAGAGAUGGUAGCAUGGUACAGUGGAGUGAGAGAAAAAGAGAUGGUAGCAUGGUACAGUAUGUGAGGGAGGAAAGGAGGUCAAGGAGUGAAGGAAAGGGAAAGUGUGAAUGUUGACAAUAGAGAGAUGAAACAGUGCUGUGAACCUUGCAUUUCAGGGUGUAGCUUGUAAAAAAAUAUGCAGAACGCAUAAAACUAACAUUGCAUGAAGCUUUGCUUGACAGAAUAGUGUUUAAUGCAUCAACCAGUGACCUACGUUUUUAUGUAAAACAGAUAAUUAACAAACGCAGGAGUGCUGUGUUGUUCCAUUGCAGGAAAGAAGAGGUCAAAGAAGAUCAAACUCCGGAUCACUGAUGGGCCCUGAGUGACACUGCUGACUCAUUUAGCAGAACAAGGUCACAGGCUAGCCUUUCUAAAUUAUAGUUCUCAUAGAGCAAGAGGUUUCUCUCUUAGCUCACGUGCACGAUAAAAACCCUGAGCUCAUGACAAUGACAUGACUGACUGAUAUAUGCUCUACGGACUGACCAUGACACGUGUCGAUGAUGUUUAUUGUUGUUGAUUUUAUAUAAUGAGGGUUUAACCAUUUUCAUUCUGCAUCUCAGAGUGUUGUUGCACACAGGAAGCUCACAUUAACAACUUCAACCCUUCUCUUUAGGCUGAGCAGCAGUGGAGAAACUGUGUCAGCAUAAACACCUCGCUUAAACUGAUUUUCUUGCCUAACCGAACCGAUUUCUCUCCUACUCCUAACCUCUGUCCACAGGUUACUUCAGUAUCAGAAAAGGGUCUUCUAUCUUCUGACCUGCUACAAAUUGGUUAUUUUAUAUUCUCGGAUUUUCUGAUUUCUACACGACGGCCUGAGACAAGAAGCAAACUAUAUGUUCUAUUUAGCCUAACCCUAACCCUAGCUCUGUAGGAUGGUUUAUGCUGCACUAUGGUGCAGAGCUUUCUGCCUCUCAGCUAUCAGCUCUCAGGUCCAGCUGGAGCACCAGUCUGAGGGGGACAGAGGAUGACGCAGCAGAGGAGUGCUGAAGCCCUGGACAGUCUGGAAGCGAGUGACUCGGUGUGAGGGCCACAAGUGAGCUGGGCCAACUGGGUCGGCUAGCAGAGAGGCUAGGCAUCAGAUGAGCUUCCCAGGACAACGCAGAGGGUGCAGUGCCACAACUUCCAGAACAACCAUGAUGGAAGAGCCACUGGAGCCGAAGGAGCCGAUGGAGAGUCCAAUUAAACCAAUUCCAGCUAGACCAAGAUUUCUCACCCACCUAAUAUUGUGGGGCUGCGCGGACCAACACAUCUAUAGGAGGCGGAACGACGUGGCAUCACAGACCUUCAAGACUGACUGUUGCUGCGUAUGAGGAUCACCUGUUGGAGCUGAAAGAAGAGCCUAGGCAAAAGGAGACGUCCUAGGCAAAGGACGAGCUGGAGCUGAAGUUGAAACCUGGGGCUCCGGUGUAUAUCAAGGGGUUUUAGGAGAACGUGGGACCAUGCCCGACAAGAAGGUCCCAACAUGCUGGUCAAGACGACCUCAAGAGAAGUUCAAGUUAAAGGCUCCCUCCCCUGGUAUCAUCUGAACCACUGUGUUAAAGUAUUAGAGGGGGAAAUGGGGAACCCUAAGAUUGAUGUUUAGUAAAAAUGGUCCAAGUGUGUUUGUAAACUUGUCAGUAAUUUGUUUUUGUGUUUAUUUUUAGAGGCAGUAAAGUAAAUUGGGCUUAGCUUUAAUGGACAUUUGUCUGUCCAUUGAGGGGGAAAGUUUGUGGUAAAUUCUGUUCCUCCUAUGGAGUUAUUUCUGUCCAUUGCAACAAAUGUCAAGUUGACCGUGGUGUCAGGUUGGCCACUAAAACAAAUAAACUGCUGCAGCUGAGUAAACAUGGACUUUCGAUGGACACGUAGGCACUCGCUGGUUGCAUAAACAACACAGCUUUAAAAAGUGGGCAUUGAGAGAUGUUUCUUAGAGUGCUUCGCAGAGGGUCUGCUGCAGACACCCAGCAGACCUUUUUCGACCUCUUAGUUCUUUCUGCAGAAGAACAAGCGGGUGAAUUCGGCCACCACCUCUCUCAUGAUUAUUCUGUGAUUGUACUAUUUCAUUCUAUGUAAUAAAUUCAUGUGUUAAUUUGAGCAUAAAA